GGCUACCUAGCUCGUGGGUCAGAGCAUCGCGCUCAUAAUGCGAGGGUCGGUGGUUUAAAUCCACCCGUAGCCACCA
RNAcentral lists this transfer RNA (76 nucleotides) under Spiribacter salinus. RNAcentral's name for it is "tRNA-Met". It matches the Rfam family "tRNA". Rfam says of the family: Transfer RNA (tRNA) molecules are approximately 80 nucleotides in length. Their secondary structure includes four short double-helical elements and three loops (D, anti-codon, and T loops). The record is from RNAcentral. Lineage: Bacteria; Pseudomonadati; Pseudomonadota; Gammaproteobacteria; Chromatiales; Ectothiorhodospiraceae.